Molecule: ribosomal RNA, 315 nt
Filed under: Arxiozyma bovina
Lineage: Eukaryota; Fungi; Ascomycota; Saccharomycetes; Saccharomycetales; Saccharomycetaceae
Description: Kazachstania bovina partial large subunit ribosomal RNA
Rfam family: Eukaryotic large subunit ribosomal RNA
Source: RNAcentral
GGAAUGCAGCUCUAAGUGGGUGGUAAAUUCCAUCUAAAGGUAAAUACAGGCGAGAGACCGAUAGCGAACAAGUACAGUGAUGGAAAGAUGAAAAGAACUUUGAAAAGAGAGUGAAAAAGUACGUGAAAUUGUUGAAAGGGAAGGGCAUUUGAUCAGACAUGGUGUUUUGCGCCCCCUGCUCCUUGUGGGCGGGGGACCCUCGCAGCUCACUGGGCCAGCAUCAGUUUUGGCGGCUGGAUAAAACCGGAGGAAUGUGGCUUCUCUCGGGAAGUGUUAUAGCCUGCGGGAAUGCGGCCAGCCGGGACUGAGGAACGC